RNAcentral lists this ribosomal RNA (666 nucleotides) under Triticum aestivum (bread wheat). Its description in RNAcentral is "partial small subunit ribosomal RNA". The record is from RNAcentral. Lineage: Eukaryota; Viridiplantae; Streptophyta; Magnoliopsida; Poales; Poaceae.
AUGGAUCGAAGGUCAAACCGGGCCGCCUUCAAACGAGCCGACGCCGGAAAUCCAGCCGCCGCCGCAGCCGAUCUGCCGAGCUGCCGUGAUGCCGGCGCGGCGAAUGGAAGCUGCCACUCCCAGAGGGCCUCGCUGCCUCGCUGCCGCAUCCACAGCCGGUGCAGCAGCCACGCCGGGACGGUGCCCCAACCCGUGCCGCCUGCCGGAAAAUGCCAGAUCCGUCCGGCACGCACCACCACUGCCACCAACCCGCGCCACCCAAGGUCGCCAGCCUACCUCCACCAGCCAUCACUGCCACCGGAGCUACAGCGGCCGCCGGCCCCGCCACCGGUGCCCUCCGCCCGCUGCACCCUGCUGCCGCCGCCAGAACCGCCCGCCGCCACGAACCUCCGCACCAGCCGCUCGCAGUCCCCCGCCACCCCACGACAAGCCGGAUCCACGCAGCCACCACAGCAGCCGUGGCCAUCCGCACCGCCGCCGCCGCGCCCUGCGGGAGCGCCGCGUCCUCGGGUGGCCACCGCAUCCCCCGCUGCAGAGAACCCUGCCGCCGCCUACGACGACCGGGCUUUGCCUAGCGGCGGCGAGGGGGAGGGUACCCCGCUGCCCUUAGCCUUGCCCUCGCUCCAGCAGCCUCAAGUCAAGCCCACUCUCAUCAGCCUUACAUAA